CGGAGGGUGCAAGCGUUAUCCGGAAUCAUUGGGUUUAAAGGGUCCGCAGGCGGAAUUAUAAGUCAGUGGUGAAAGCUCUCAGCUUAACUGAGAAACUGCCAUUGAUACUGUAGUUCUUGAAUUUGGUCGAAGUGGGCGGAAUAUGACAUGUAGCGGUGAAAUGCAUAGAUAUGUCAUAGAACACCGAUAGCGAAGGCAGCUCACUAGGCCAAUAUUGACGCUCAUGGACGAAAGCGUGGGGAGCAAACAGGAUUAGAUACCCUGGUAGUCCACGCCGUAAACUAUGAUUACUCGUUUUCAGCGAUAUACUGUUGGAGACUAAGCGAAAGUGAUAAGUAAUCCACCUGGGGAGUACGAUCGCAAGGUUG
This 368-nucleotide ribosomal RNA is filed under the name uncultured organism. RNAcentral's name for it is "bacterial SSU rRNA". It matches the Rfam family "Bacterial small subunit ribosomal RNA", at positions 526 to 896 of the family's 1533-position model. The record is from RNAcentral.